GAUGAACGCUGGCGGCGUGCCUAAUACAUGCAAGUCGAGCGAACGGACGAGAAGCUUGCUUCUCUGAUGUUAGCGGCGGACGGGUGAGUAACACGUGGAUAACCUACCUAUAGGACUGGGAUAACUUCGGGAAACCGGAGCUAAUACCGGAUAAUAUUUUGAACCGAAUGGUUCAAAAGUGAAAGACGGUCUUGCGGUAACUAAUGGAUGGAUCCGCGCUGCAUUGCUAGUUGGUAAGGUAACGGCUUACCAAGGCAACGAUGCAUAGCCGACCUGAGAGGGUGAUCGGCCACACUGGAACUGAGACACGGUCCAGACUCCUACGGGAGGCAGCAGUAGGGAAUCUUCCGCAAUGGGCGAAAGCCUGACGGAGCAACGCCGCGUGAGUGAUGAAGGUCUUCGGAUCGUAAAACUCUGUUAUUAGGGAAGAACAUAUGUGUAAGUAACUGUGCACAUCUUGACGGUACCUAAUCAGAAAGCCACGGCUAACUACGUG
RNAcentral lists this ribosomal RNA (496 nucleotides) under uncultured bacterium. Its description in RNAcentral is "partial 16S ribosomal RNA". It matches the Rfam family "Bacterial small subunit ribosomal RNA", at positions 28 to 507 of the family's 1533-position model. The record is from RNAcentral.